Molecule: ribosomal RNA, 520 nt
Filed under: uncultured bacterium
Lineage: Bacteria
Description: bacterial SSU rRNA
Rfam family: Bacterial small subunit ribosomal RNA
Source: RNAcentral
AAUAGAUACCCGGGUAGUCCACGCCGUAAACGAUGUCGACUUGGAGGUUGUUCCCUUGAGGAGUGGCUUCCGGAGCUAACGCGUUAAGUCGACCGCCUGGGGAGUACGGCCGCAAGGUUAAAACUCAAAUGAAUUGACGGGGGCCCGCACAAGCGGUGGAGCAUGUGGUUUAAUUCGAUGCAACGCGAAGAACCUUACCUACUCUUGACAUCCAGAGAACUUAGCAGAGAUGCUUUGGUGCCUUCGGGAACUCUGAGACAGGUGCUGCAUGGCUGUCGUCAGCUCGUGUUGUGAAAUGUUGGGUUAAGUCCCGCAACGAGCGCAACCCUUAUCCUUUGUUGCCAGCGGUUAGGCCGGGAACUCAAAGGAGACUGCCAGUGAUAAACUGGAGGAAGGUGGGGAUGACGUCAAGUCAUCAUGGCCCUUACGAGUAGGGCUACACACGUGCUACAAUGGCGCAUACAAAGAGAAGCGACCUCGCGAGAGCAAGCGGACCUCAUAAAGUGCGUCGUAGUCCGGA